Long non-coding RNA from Chiroxiphia lanceolata (lance-tailed manakin), 241 nucleotides. RefSeq lists it as uncharacterized. The transcript has 3 exons. NCBI's taxonomy places the organism in Eukaryota, Metazoa, Chordata, Aves, Passeriformes, Pipridae. The record is from RefSeq and is a predicted model, not a curated record.
UUCUUUGAUUUCAGAUUACCUGUAUACUAAAAGUGCUGCUUGGAGAAGAAUGUUAAGCUUAUUGAACAUGAAGGGACUCUGUUAGUGGAGAAAUAAUACCUGAAAUGGCUGCUUGCCACAUGAGGAUACAAAAGAGUGUCAACUGUACGAGUACAUAAAGAAAUUUCUGCUCAGCAUUUGACAUGAUUCUCUCCUGACAAAUCCAGCAUUUCACUGGGAAGAACAGGCAUUCAAAUCCUGA